CAGUAGCCGCGGUAAUACGGAGGGUGCAAGCGUUAUCCGGAUUCACUGGGUUUAAAGGGUGCGUAGGCGGAUCUGUAAGUCAGUGGUGAAAUCUCCAGGCUUAACCUGGAAACUGCCGUUGAUACUAUAGGUCUUGAACUUUGUGGAGGUUAGCGGAAUAUGUCAUGUAGCGGUGAAAUGCAUAGAUAUGACAUAGAACACCAAUUGCGAAGGCAGCUGGCUACACAACUAUGACGCUGAGGCACGAAAGCGUGGGGAUCAAACAGGAUUAGAUACCCCGGUAGUCCCUGUCUCUUAUACA
RNAcentral lists this ribosomal RNA (301 nucleotides) under uncultured bacterium. RNAcentral's name for it is "partial 16S ribosomal RNA". It matches the Rfam family "Bacterial small subunit ribosomal RNA", at positions 509 to 808 of the family's 1533-position model. The record is from RNAcentral.